UAACACAUGCAAGUCGAACGAUGAUGCCCAGCUUGCUGGGUGGAUUAGUGGCGAACGGGUGAGUAACACGUGAGUAACCUGCCCCUGACUCUGGGAUAAGCGUUGGAAACGACGUCUAAUACUGGAUAUGACUGCCGGCCGCAUGGUCUGGUGGUGGAAAGAUUUUUUGGUUGGGGAUGGACUCGCGGCCUAUCAGCUUGUUGGUGAGGUAAUGGCUCACCAAGGCGACGACGGGUAGCCGGCCUGAGAGGGUGACCGGCCACACUGGGACUGAGACACGGCCCAGACUCCUACGGGAGGCAGCAGUGGGGAAUAUUGCACAAUGGGCGAAAGCCUGAUGCAGCAACGCCGCGUGAGGGAUGACGGCCUUCGGGUUGUAAACCUCUUUUAGUAGGGAAGAAGGGAGCUUGCUCUUGACGGUACCUGCAGAAAAAGCACCGGCUAACUACGUGCCAGCAGCCGCGGUAAUACGUUAGGUGCAAGCGUUGUCCGGAAUUAUUGGGCGUAAAGAGCUCGUAUGCGGUUUGUCGCGUCUGCUGUGAAAUCCCCAGGCUCAACCUCGGGCUUGCAAUGGGUACAGGCAAACUAGAGUGCGGAAGUGAAGAUUGGAAUUCCUGGUGUAGCGUUGGAAUGCGCAGAUAUCAGGAGGAACACCGAUGGCGAAUGCAUAUCUCUGGGCCGUAACUGACGCUGAGGAGCUAAAGCAUGGAGAGCGAACAGGAUUACAUACCCUGGUAGUCCAUGCCGUAAACGUUGGGCGCUAGAUGUAGGGACCUUUCCACGGUUUCUGUGUCGUAGCUAACGCAUUACGCGCCCCGCCUGGGGAGUACGGCC
RNAcentral lists this ribosomal RNA (834 nucleotides) under Curtobacterium sp. ECP28. RNAcentral describes it as "bacterial SSU rRNA". It matches the Rfam family "Bacterial small subunit ribosomal RNA", at positions 49 to 887 of the family's 1533-position model. The record is from RNAcentral. Lineage: Bacteria; Bacillati; Actinomycetota; Actinomycetes; Micrococcales; Microbacteriaceae.